UACGUAGGGUGCGAGCGUUGUCCGGAAUUAUUGGGCGUAAAGAGCUCGUAGGCGGUUUGUCGCGUCGACUGUGAAAACCUACAGCUUAACUGUGGGCUUGCAGUCGAUACGGGCAGACUUGAGUUCGGUAGGGGAGACUGGAAUUCCUGGUGUAGCGGUGAAAUGCGCAGAUAUCAGGAGGAACACCGGUGGCGAAGGCGGAUCUCUGGGCCAUUACUGACGCUGAGGAGCGAAAGCGUGGGGAGCGAACAGG
This 253-nucleotide ribosomal RNA is filed under the name uncultured bacterium. Its description in RNAcentral is "partial 16S ribosomal RNA". It matches the Rfam family "Bacterial small subunit ribosomal RNA", at positions 524 to 776 of the family's 1533-position model. The record is from RNAcentral.